Molecule: ribosomal RNA, 484 nt
Filed under: uncultured bacterium
Lineage: Bacteria
Description: partial 16S ribosomal RNA
Rfam family: Bacterial small subunit ribosomal RNA
Source: RNAcentral
AUUGAACGCUGGCGGCAGGCCUAACACAUGCAAGUCGAGCGGAUGAAGGGAGCUUGCUCCUGGAUUCAGCGGCGGACGGGUGAGUAAUGCCUAGGAAUCUGCCUGGUAGUGGGGGAUAACGUCCGGAAACGGGCGCUAAUACCGCAUACGUCCUGAGGGAGAAAGUGGGGGAUCUUCGGACCUCACGCUAUCAGAUGAGCCUAGGUCGGAUUAGCUAGUUGGUGGGGUAAAGGCCUACCAAGGCGACGAUCCGUAACUGGUCUGAGAGGAUGAUCAGUCACACUGGAACAGAGACACGGUCCAGACUCCUACGGGAGGCAGCAGUGGGGAAUAUUGGACAAUGGGCGAAAGCCUAAUCCAGCCAAGCCGCGUGUGUGAAGAAGGUCUUCGGAUUGUAAAGCACUUUAAGUUGGGAGGAAGGGCAGUAAGUUAAUACCUUGCUGUUUUGACGUUACCAACAGAAUAAGCACCGGCUAACUUCGUG